This 845-nucleotide ribosomal RNA is filed under the name Marasmius congregatus. Its description in RNAcentral is "partial large subunit ribosomal RNA". It matches the Rfam family "Eukaryotic large subunit ribosomal RNA", at positions 77 to 909 of the family's 3401-position model. Lineage: Eukaryota; Fungi; Basidiomycota; Agaricomycetes; Agaricales; Marasmiaceae. The record is from RNAcentral.
UCCCUAGUAACUGCGAGUGAAGAGGGAAAAGCUCAAAUUUAAAAUCUGGCAGCUUCGCUGUCCGAGUUGUAAUUUAGAGAAGUGUUACCCCGCCGCUGGACCGUGUAUAAGUCUCCUGGAAUGGAGCGUCAUAGAGGGUGAGAAUCCCGUCUUUGACACGGACUACCAGGGCAUUGUGGUGCGCUCUCGAAGAGUCGAGUUGUUUGGGAAUGCAGCUCUAAAUGGGUGGUAAAUUCCAUCUAAAGCUAAAUAUUGGCGAGAGACCGAUAGCGAACAAGUACCGUGAGGGAAAGAUGAAAAGAACUUUGGAAAGAGAGUUAAACAGUACGUGAAAUUGCUGAAAGGGAAACGCUUGAAGUCAGUCGCGUUGGCCGGGGAUCAGCCUUGCUUUUGUGAGGUGUACUUCCCGGUUGACGGGUCAGCAUCAGUUUCGACCACUGGAGAAAGGCUUGGGGAAUGUGGCACCUUCGGGUGUGUUAUAGCCCCUUGUUGUAUACAGUGGUUGGGACUGAGGAACUCAGCACGCCGCAAGGCCGGGUUUCGACCACGUUCGUGCUUAGGAUGCUGGCAAAAUGGCUUUAAGCGACCCGUCUUGAAACACGGACCAAGGAGUCUAACAUGCCUGCGAGUGUUUGGGUGGAAAACCCGAGCGCGUAAUGAAAGUGAAAGUUGGGAUCUCUGUCGUGGAGAGCACCGACGCCCGGACCUGAUGUUUACUGACGGAUCUGCGGUAGAGCAUGUAUGUUGGGACCCGAAAGAUGGUGAACUAUGCCUGAAUAGGGUGAAGCCAGAGGAAACUCUGGUSGAGGCUCGUAGCGAAUCUGACGUGCCAAUCGAUCGUCGCA